CCUACGGGAGGCAGCAGUGAGGAAUAUUGGUCAAUGGGCGCGAGCCUGAACCAGCCAAGUAGCGUGAAGGAUGACUGCCCUACGGGUUGUAAACUUCUUUUAUCAAGGAAUAAAGUGAGGCACGUGUGCCUUUUUGUAUGUACUUUAUGAAUAAGGAUCGGCUAACUCCGUGCCAGCAGCCGCGGUAAUACGGAGGAUCCGAGCGUUAUCCGGAUUUAUUGGGUUUAAAGGGCUCGUAGAUGGGUUGUUAAGUCAGUUGUGAAAGUUUGCGGCUCAACCGUAAAAGUGCAAUUGAUACUGGCAGCCUUGAGUACAGUUGAGGUAGGCGGAAUGCGUGGUGUAGCGGUGAAAUGCUUAGAUAUCACGAAGAACUCCGAUUGCGAAGGCAGCUUACUAAACUGCCACUGACAUUGAUGCUCGAAAGUGUGGGUAUCAAACAGGAUUAGAUACCCGAGUAGUC
RNAcentral lists this ribosomal RNA (460 nucleotides) under uncultured bacterium. RNAcentral's name for it is "partial 16S ribosomal RNA". It matches the Rfam family "Bacterial small subunit ribosomal RNA", at positions 338 to 795 of the family's 1533-position model. The record is from RNAcentral.